This 1472-nucleotide long non-coding RNA is filed under the name Triticum aestivum (bread wheat). RNAcentral describes it as "long non-coding RNA (TAES_LNC026432)". Lineage: Eukaryota; Viridiplantae; Streptophyta; Magnoliopsida; Poales; Poaceae. The record is from RNAcentral.
AGAAGGUGUGGUUGUUCCAACCAUGAAUCCCGGACCAUAUCCGUCGGUAGUCGUUGACCUCAACGAAUCCGUGGAGGUACUGUCAGACGAGCUAGAUCAUGGCGAUUAUGCCAGUGGAUCAUCAGAUGAUAGCGACGACGACGAAGGAGGUGAUCCUUCUCAGCCUCUUGCCAUUCAGCAGAGGGCCGUGGUGCCCUCAACGGAGAGAUGGACGGAUAGUGACAUAGCCCGUCAUGAUGCCAUGGUACUAGCAUUUCUGAUCAUCUUGCAAUUUUCACCAAUAAUUCGUUGACACAACAAUGUCGGCUUCACGCAGAUUAGAGACAUGUAGGGGCUCCUUGAGAUUGUGUUGGAAGGCCUUCGGAUGGUACCCCCUCUCCCACAUAGCGAAAAGGCAAUAUUAAUACGAAUUUAUCAACGUGUCAAGGAGUUUAUUGAGCUCUGCAGUGGCGCUCGAAUUAAUGGCAUUGUAUGGUCGGCACUACCAGGCAGGGCGCGUCCAAGCCUCACCACUUCAAUGGAUCAUGAGGUAUAUUUGCAAAUUCAUCGUAUCUAACACUUGGUACUAUGCGUGUGUGUGUGUGUAAUAUGUUCUGCUGUGAACCGUGACAGACCGGGACGCGCCAGGACUCAGUGCUAUUGCGUAUGCCAGCCAGCACUCCCUUGCAGCGCUCUCAGUUCAGCGGUUCACAGCCAGAACGUCAGGUGAAGCUCAUACUAAUUUACUUACAUUCACAGUGAUUACAUGUCCGAUCGAUUCAGUAACGAUUGAAUUGGAUACAGUUCGGCUCCGGAGCGAUGGAGGUAGAUAAUCCAUCCCCCGAGACCAGCCCUGGUAGAGGACCUACAGGGCAAUUCUCGUACGAUCAAGGCGAGGGUUCUGACGGCGAGGGAUCUGACGGCGAAGAAUCCACAGAUGUACGAACUAAAAUCGAAAGAAACACAGCCAUUCAGCAAUUUUCACACUAUUUCACAGUACUACUAAUUGUUAGCUUCCUAUUCAUACACAUUCUACUCCUGAAAUUUGCAGGAAGAAGAGUGUGAUGGCCGUGAUUAACCGGAUCUUCUUCACACGGCGGACGUUCAGCGGGAGAUGGGCGAGGGUAUGCUCUUCACAGCAGCACGAGCAGCCCCGAGGAUCUCCUACUAGUACCCUGGAACUUCGCAGGGCCGUGUGGCUCCUUGAUCCGUGGACAAUGUAACGAGCACUACGACAUAUUUCAGAGCUUGUUAAGCUACCAAGUACCUUCGAUUUCCACUCCGUAAUCGUUUUUACGUCCGAUUUCUCGAGAUCUCCCCAGAUAAAUCGCCUCUCUUGUAGUCCUUUGAUCACGACAGAUUUAUCCGUACUGUUGCUCGUCCACGUCUGCGUCAGGUUUACCAUGCGAUGGCAUGCACCUGAUGGUGGCUUACAAUUGGGCAGCACGCAUUGCAGGCAGUAGACGCAUGCGCAUUGUCUCGGCGAAAGCGAU